Molecule: long non-coding RNA, 1038 nt
Filed under: Homo sapiens (human)
Lineage: Eukaryota; Metazoa; Chordata; Mammalia; Primates; Hominidae
Description: long intergenic non-protein coding RNA 539
Source: RNAcentral
AGAGCACUGGGCACAGGACAAGCUUGCUACCCCUGGGUGUGGGGCUGAGCAGGCCUGGAAGAAACAAGGCUGCUGGGCUGAGCUUGGGGCCAGCCGCUCAUUUCACCAAGCUGAGCUGUAAUCACAUCCCCAGGUAGCACUGUGCCUUCAGAAUAUGACUGAGCAGCAUUAUGUCUGCAGUGCUAAGCAGGUGUGAUCAAUAGAUGGAGAGCUGUGACCAGCUGGGCUGUGAUGCGGAGCCUGCAACCAAGCUGCCUGGGGGAAAUUCAGGAGGCCAGCCAUCGUCUUUAACCAGGGCAGCCCCGAGAGUGUCUGCAAGGGCUGCAUGCCCUGAGUAGAUCCUCGCAGAUGCUGAUCAGGGUGUCUUCUGGGCUCCACCUGGCACAGAAAAGCCAGCAAAGCUCCAGGGGCUUCCCUUCUUUCCUGGCAGAGAAAGAGCAGGCAGAUUCAGAGCCCCGUGAGGCUGUCUUGAGCUCCACCGGGAUCUAGGGAGAGCCAGCAGCACCACCAAGAUAUUUACGUUGUGAACUGGUAAAAUCUGAACUGCAGAAUAUCAAUUUCCAGACAUUCUUCCUAGAUGAUGCCGUCUGCCACGGCAGGGACCUCUAUCACCCAAAGGGAAACAGCCGUCUAUCUACGAAGCUGUGAUCUCCCCUACAAGCAAGAGAACUCAAUUGCCAGGAGGUCUUUGCUUUUUCUGGCUUCCAGAGAAUGCAGAAAUUUCAAGGAGCCACUAUUGGGCUCCUUCCCUAUAGGAUGUUGGGCCAGGCAACAGAACAAACCUCCUGAGGCACUUCUACCUGGGAAUGCCCUCCUGAGGCCAAUGGCAGCCCUCUGAUGAAGAUACUAUAGUAUUUAUUUUUUGUACACGCUGGUGAUCAUCCAGUGUACAUCUCUGCUUAGUGAACCUUCAUGAACUGGAGGCUGAAUAUUCUCAUCCUGCAUUGAUAGAACCACGUAGGCUGGUUCUAGGCUGUUUUCUGUGCAACACUCAACAUGACAAUAAUAAUGAUGAUGAUGCUAAUGAUGAUUGUAAAA